This 253-nucleotide ribosomal RNA is filed under the name uncultured bacterium. RNAcentral describes it as "partial 16S ribosomal RNA". It matches the Rfam family "Bacterial small subunit ribosomal RNA", at positions 524 to 776 of the family's 1533-position model. The record is from RNAcentral.
GACGUAGGGCGCAAGCGUUGUCCGGAUUUAUUGGGCGUAAAGAGCUCGUAGGCGGUUCAUUGCGUCAAUCGUGAAAUCCUGUGGCUCAACUACAGGCUUGCGGUUGAUACGGGUGGGCUGGAGUUCGGUAGGGGAGACUGGAAUACCUGGUGUAGCGGUGAAAUGCGUAGAUAUCUGGAGGAAUACCGGUGGCGAAGGCGGCAUCCUGGACCAUUACUGACGCUGAGGCGCGAAAGCUAGGGGAGCAAACGGG